RNAcentral lists this ribosomal RNA (478 nucleotides) under uncultured bacterium. Its description in RNAcentral is "partial 16S ribosomal RNA". It matches the Rfam family "Bacterial small subunit ribosomal RNA", at positions 28 to 523 of the family's 1533-position model. The record is from RNAcentral.
GACGAACGUUGGCGGCGUGCUUAACACAUGCAAGUCGAACGGUAAGGCCCUUCGGGGUACACGAGUGGCGAACGGAGGAGUAACACGUGGGUGAUCUGCCCUGCACUUCGGGAUAAGCCUGGGAAACUGGGGCUAAUUCCGGAUAGGACCACUGCCUGCCUGGGAGGUGGUGGAAAGCUUUUGCGGUGUGGGAUGGGGCCGCGGCCUAUCAGCUUGUUGGGGGGGUGAUGGCCUACCAAGGCGACGACGGGUAGCCGGCCUGAGAGGGUGACCGGCCACACUGGGACUGAGAUACGGCCCAGACUCCUACGGGAGGCAGCAGUGGGGAAUAUUGCACAAUGGGCGCAAGCCUGAUGCAGCGACGCCGCGUGAGGGAUGACGGCCUUCGGGUUGUAAACCUCUUUCAGCACCGACGAAGCGCAAGUGACGGUAGGUGCAGAAGAAGGACCGGCCAACUACGUGCCAGCCGCCGCGGUAA